This 253-nucleotide ribosomal RNA is filed under the name uncultured bacterium. RNAcentral's name for it is "partial 16S ribosomal RNA". It matches the Rfam family "Bacterial small subunit ribosomal RNA", at positions 524 to 776 of the family's 1533-position model. The record is from RNAcentral.
GACGGAGGGUGCAAGCGUUGCUCGGAAUCACUGGGCGUAAAGGGUGCGUAGGCGGUCUCGCAAGUCUGGCGUGAAAGCCCAAGGCUCAGCCUUGGAAGUGCGCUCGAAACGGCGAGGCUGGAGUGCCGGAGGGGAGAGUGGAAUUCCCGGUGUAGCGGUGAAAUGCGUAGAGAUCGGGAGGAAUACCGGUGGCGAAGGCGGGUUGCUGGGCUGACACUGACGCUGAUGCGCGAAAGCUAGGGGAGCGAACGGG